CCUACGGGUGGCAGCAGUGAGGAAUAUUGGUCAAUGGGCGCGAGCCUGAACCAGCCAAGUCGCGUGAGGGAAGACGGUCCUCUGGAUUGUAAACCUCUUUUGUCGGGGAGCAAAAGACGCCACGCGUGGCGUUCCGAGAGUACCCGAAGAAAAAGCAUCGGCUCACUCCGUGCCAGCAGCCGCGGUAAUACGGGGGAUGCGAGCGUUCUCGGGAUUUAUUGGGUUUACAGGGAGUGCAGGCGGAAGAUCAAGUCAGCGGUAAAAUUGAGAGGUUCAACCUCUUCGGGCCGUUGAAACUGGUUUUCUUGAGUGAGCGAGAGGUAUGCGGAAUGCGGGGUGUAGCGGUGAAAUGCAUAGAUAUCACGCAGAACUCCGAUUGCGAAGGCAGCAUACCGGCGCUCAACUGACGCUCAUGCACGAAAGUGUGGGUAUCGAACAGGAUUAGAUACCCGAGUAGUC
Molecule: ribosomal RNA, 459 nt
Filed under: uncultured bacterium
Lineage: Bacteria
Description: partial 16S ribosomal RNA
Rfam family: Bacterial small subunit ribosomal RNA
Source: RNAcentral